This 576-nucleotide ribosomal RNA is filed under the name uncultured bacterium. RNAcentral's name for it is "bacterial SSU rRNA". It matches the Rfam family "Bacterial small subunit ribosomal RNA", at positions 338 to 916 of the family's 1533-position model. The record is from RNAcentral.
CCUACGGGAGGCAGCAGUUAGGAAUCUUCCACAAUGGGCGAAAGCCUGAUGGAGCGACGCCGCGUGAGGGAUGAAGGUUUUCGGAUCGUAAACCUCUGAAUCAGGGACGAAAGACGCUUUAUGCGGGAUGACGGUACCUGAGUAAUAGCACCGGCUAACUCCGUGCCAGCAGCCGCGGUAAUACGGAGGGUGCAAGCGUUACCCGGAAUCACUGGGCGUAAAGGGCGUGUAGGCGGGAUGUUAAGUCUGGCUUUAAAGACCGGGGCUCAACCUCGGGAGUGGGCUGGAUACUGGCAUUCUUGACCUCUGGAGAGGUACUCGGAAUUUCUGGUGUAGCGGUGGAAUGCGUAGAUACCAGAAGGAACACCGAUGGCGAAGGCAGAGUACUGGACAGAAGGUGACGCUGAGGCGCGAAAGUGUGGGGAGCGAACCGGGAUUAGGAUACCCGGGGUAAGUCCGACACCCUAAACGGACUGUACGUUGGAUGACGGCAGGAUGCUGUCGUUGUCGAAGUUAACGCGAUAACGUACCGCCUGGGAAGUACGGCCGCAAGGUUGAAACUCAAAGGAUUGACGG